This 468-nucleotide ribosomal RNA is filed under the name uncultured bacterium. RNAcentral's name for it is "partial 16S ribosomal RNA". It matches the Rfam family "Bacterial small subunit ribosomal RNA", at positions 28 to 507 of the family's 1533-position model. The record is from RNAcentral.
GACGAACGCUGGCGGCGUGCUUAACACAUGCCAGUCGAACGGAAAGGCCCUGCUUUUGUGGGGUGCUCGAGUGGCGAACGGGUGAGUAACACGUUAGUAACCUGCCCUUGACUUUGGGAUAACUUCAGGAAACUGGGGCUAAUACCGGAUAGGAGCUCCUGCUGCAUGGUGGGGGUUGGAAAGUUUCGGCGGUUGGGGAUGGACUCGCGGCUUAUCAGCUUGUUGGUGGGGUAGUGGCUUACCAAGGCUUUGACGGGUAGCCGGCCUGAGAGGGGGACCGGCCACAUUGGGACUGAGAUAGGGCCCAGACUCCUACGGGAGGCAGCAGUGGGGAAUAUUGCACAAUGGGCGGAAGCCUGAUGCAGCAACGCCGCGUGCGGGAUGACGGCCUUCGGGUUGUAAACCGCUUUCGCCUGUGACGAAGCGUGAGUGACGGUAAUGGGUAAAGAAGCACCGGCUAACUACGUG